AGGUGACCCAAACUGACCAAAGGGAUAUUCCAUACCAUAUGACGUCAUGCUCAGUUUAUAAGGAGCUUGGGGGGAAGAGAAGGGGGGGGCAGCGGCGUUUGGAGUGAUGGCGUUUGUCUUCCCAAGUAACCAUUACGCGUGACAGGGCCCUGCUUCCCUGGAGAUGGCUGAACACCUGCCUGCCCAUGGGGAGUGGUGAAUGAAUUCCUUGCUUUGCUUUGCUUGUGCGCGCGGCUUUUGCUUUACCUAUUAAAAUAUCUUUAUCUCAACCUACGAGUUUUCUCACUUUAACUUUUCCAAUUCUCUCCCCCAUCCCGAUGGGGGGGGGAGCGAGUGAGCGGCUGCAUGGUGCUUAGCUGCCGGCUGGGGUAAAACCACGACAGUCCUUUUUGGCGCCCAACGUGGGGCACGAAGGGUUCGAGAUAAUGACAGAUUUGAUUGGAAUGUGCUAGAUUGAAUUUAUAGUUGUUAUUAGCUAUUAAUUGGCAGGCUCCUGUGCUUGCCAUGGGGCUUGCUUGCCUUACUGUAUAUUAGAGGCUAGUGCUCGUUAGUGGCUGCUUUUUGCUUUCGCUGCUCGCUGUACUGCUGUACUGCUUAUCAUCUUACUGUGCUGUGCCUUGGAACGUUUUGAUAACAGCAAUGGCGAUGUGCCUGGCCUGGCAGAUGGCCAGGGCACUGCUGCUGUUUCUGUGCUGCUGUCCUGGACAGGCUGGAGCUCCUGUGUGCACUCGAGUCAAAGGGACUGUGACCUGUGGAUGAGUCCACGUCGGAGCAGGACACCCCAAAGCGUCUGUGGCUGUGGUUGCGUCUGUGCCGCAGCAGGUAUAUCUCGAAGUGUCUGGGGCCGCGGUUGCGUCUGUGCCGCAGCAGGUAUAUCUCGAAGUGUCUGGGGCCGUGGUUGUGUCUGUGCCGCAGCAGGUAUACCUCUGGAAGGAUUGUGAGCCAAGGAUAAGUCCAUGCUGGAGAAGGUACACCUCGAAGCAUCUGUGGCAAGGAUAAGUCCAUGCUGCAGCAGGUACACCUUGAAGCAUCAGUGGCUGUGCAUGGGGUCAUGCUGGAACAUUUCAAAGUGUGUGGCUAUGGACGAGCCCAUGACAGGGCAGGUUUAUUUCUAAGAGGACUAAAGUGACUGUGACUGUGGACAAGGCCACGCUGGAGCAAGUAUAUCUAUGAAGGCAUUGUGGCCCAUGGAGAAGGCCAUGCUGGAACAGGUGUACCCCUGGAGAGACUGUGGCUCGUGGAUAAGGCUCCACUUGGAGCAGGUACACCCCUAAGGGACUGCAGUCUGUGGAUAAGUUCAAGCCGGAGCAGGGGCAAGGGGAGGUGUUCAUUGCAAUGGUAAACUUGAUGGUCUGACUCGAAGGGACCAGGGGUGGAGAUUGUAAUGGAAAUACCUUUAAAUUGUUGUAACCCAUGAUUUGAGUUGCAUGUUACAGGAAUUACUGUAGCAGAAAUCACCUGAACCAAUGGAGAACGAGCCUUACAAGAAGCAGCGCAAGUGCAGCAGUGGACCUGACCUGAGCUGGUUUUGGUGCCCAGUAACUCCACACGUCAACCACCUCUCCUGUUCUGAGUGACCACCAUGGUGGAUGGAGCCCAAGGUUGUGGACCAAGUCAACCCAAUGGACAUUCUGUGGACAUUUAUGGACAUUUUAAAAGGGUGGUCCACAGACUAAGGGAAUGAUAUCAGCAUAUUAUAUCAAGGGAUGGGAAGGGUGGUGGUGCUUAAUGAGGAUGUAUUGAAUUGUGUGGGACCUGAGCAUGACGUAAAUAGUAUGGAAUAAGGGGUGGAUAAUGUCCUGGUUUUAGCUGAGAGGGUUGAUUUUCUUCAUAGUAGCUAGUGUGGGGAUAUGUUUUGGAUUUGUGCUGGAGACGGUGUUGAUAAUAUAGAGAUGUUUUUGUUCUAUGGACUUAUUGUUGAGCAGUGUUUACACAGGGCCAAGGCCUUUUCUGCUUCUUGCGCUGCCCUGCCAGCGGGAUGGCUGGGAGUGCACAAGAAGUUGGGAGGAGACAGACAGGACAGGUGACCCAAACUGACCAAAGGGAUAUUCCAUACCAUAUGACGUCAUGCUCAGUUUAUAAGGAGCUUGGGGGGAAGAGAAGGGGGGGGCGGCGGCGUUCGGAGUGAUGGCGUUUGUCUUCCCAAGUAACCAUUACGCGUGACAGGGCCCUGCUUCCCUGGAGAUGGCUGAACACCUGCCUGCCCAUGGGGAGUGGUGAAUGAAUUCCUUGCUUUGCUUUGCUUGUGCGCGCGGCUUUUGCUUUACCUAUUAAAAUAUCUUUAUCUCAA
Grus americana (Whooping crane) is the source of this 2290-nucleotide long non-coding RNA. RefSeq lists it as uncharacterized. The transcript is spliced from 2 exons. Lineage: Eukaryota; Metazoa; Chordata; Aves; Gruiformes; Gruidae. The record is from RefSeq and is a predicted model, not a curated record.